RNAcentral lists this long non-coding RNA (317 nucleotides) under Rattus norvegicus (Norway rat). Its description in RNAcentral is "long non-coding RNA NONRATT026675". The record is from RNAcentral. Lineage: Eukaryota; Metazoa; Chordata; Mammalia; Rodentia; Muridae.
UUCCCUCCUCCUCCUGUCCCUUUCUCUCUCCCUCCACUACCCUUCCCUUCUUCAGAUGUUAGUCUAUCUAGAACAACACAUUUGGAUCUAAGCUGGACCUUUGAGAAAGAAAAGACUUCGAGGAAAGACACCUUUACAUAUGGUUUAAUUACCUUUUACCUCAAUUGUUUAAUACAAACUAUCCAACUAUAUCCAUCUUUUCUGCUUCUUGUAUAUUUCUUCUUUUGCUUGAACUGUUUCAGUAUUGACUAUUGAAUUACAUAGUCAUUCUGGAUUUUUAAAAAGAGAAUUCUAAUAAAACUUAUAUAUGUUGCUAA